Molecule: long non-coding RNA, 593 nt
Filed under: Homo sapiens (human)
Lineage: Eukaryota; Metazoa; Chordata; Mammalia; Primates; Hominidae
Description: HSALNT0223563
Source: RNAcentral
CCAGCUUUUAGUCUUCAGGCAGCUCUGCAGGCUCAGCCCUGCCCGGCCUUCUUGCUGGAGGCCUGGGGCCAGGCAGAGAGGGCUGCAGACACAGGCAGGUGCCACCAUAAUGUUCUGGUGUCGGGGUUGGAGCUGUUCAUGACUAGCUGUGCCAGGAAAGUUUUUUGUUUUUUAACUUGAUGGAAAUGUUGUGGUUUUCACAUUGUCUUGGGACAAACAGGAGCUUGGUUUACAGUCCCGAAGUAUGUAUCUGCUGAAUUGUCCUUUAGUUGAUUCUCUCGGGUUUCCAAGUUAUGCCUUUUCCCCUUGGGCAGCCGAGGGAGCACAGCUUCUCCACUCAGCCCCUCUUUGGUUUGCUUGCCUCCACUGUCAGGAAAUUCCACCUUAAGUACCCUAACCCUCUCCCUGUGAUGAUGGGGUUUGGACAGACUGAUGGGCAUAGGACUCUUCCCAGUCGCUCCCUGUGCUCCAGAAAAGCUGAAGGCAGACUGGAAACAUAUUAAAUACCUGCAGGAGCCCCACUCACCAGGUGAGCACAGAGGCGGCCAUUCACAAGGCCACGAUUCCACUUCUGCCUUGGGCCGUGGUUACCA